GCACAGUUUAUACCGUAGCUUGCUACACCAUAGACUGUGAGUUGCGAACGGGUGAGUAACGCGUAUGUAACCUGCCUAUUAGAGGGGGAUAACUAUUGGAAACGAUAGCUAAUACCGCAUAACAGUAUGUAACACAUGUUAGAUGCUUGAAAGAUGCAAUUGCAUCGCUAGUAGAUGGACCUGCGUUGUAUUAGCUAGUAGGUAGGGUAAAGGCCUACCUAGGCAACGAUACAUAGCCGACCUGAGAGGGUGAUCGGCCACACUGGGACUGAGACACGGCCCAGACUCCUACGGGAGGCAGCAGUAGGGAAUCUUCGGCAAUGGGGGGAACCCUGACCGAGCAACGCCGCGUGAGUGAAGAAGGUUUUCGGAUCGUAAAGCUCUGUUGUUAAGGAAGAACGAGUGUGAGAAUGGAAAGUUCAUACUGUGACGGUACUUAACCAGAAAGGGACGGCUAACUACGUGCCAGCAGCCGCGGUAAUACGUAGGUCCCGAGCGUUGUCCGGAUUUAUUGGGCGUAAAGCGAGCGCAGGCGGUUAGAAAAGUCUGAAGUGAAAGGCAGUGGCUCAACCAUUGUAGGCUUUGGAAACUGUUUAACUUGAGUGCAGAAGGGGAGAGUGGAAUUCCAUGUGUAGCGGUGAAAUGCGUAGAUAUAUGGAGGAACACCGGUGGCGAAAGCGGCUCUCUGGUCUGUAACUGACGCUGAGGCUCGAAAGCGUGGGGAGCGAACAGGAUUAGAUACCCUGGUAGUCCACGCCGUAAACGAUGAGUGCUAGGUGUUAGGUCCUUUCCGGGACUUAGUGCCGUAGCUAACG
Molecule: ribosomal RNA, 815 nt
Filed under: uncultured Streptococcaceae bacterium
Lineage: Bacteria; Bacillati; Bacillota; Bacilli; Lactobacillales; Streptococcaceae
Description: bacterial SSU rRNA
Rfam family: Bacterial small subunit ribosomal RNA
Source: RNAcentral